CUGCUGCCUUCCGUAGGAGUUUGGACCGUGUCUCAGUUCCAAUGUGGGGGACCUUCCUCUCAGAACCCCUAUCCAUCGUCGUCUUGGUGGGCCGUUACCCCGCCAACUAACUAAUGGAACGCAUCCCCAUCGAUAACCGAAAUUCUUUAAUAUCAAGAUCAUGCGACCUCGAUAUCCUAUCGGAUAUUAAUCUUUCUUUCGAAAGGCUAUCCCCGAGUUAUCGGCAGGUUGGAUACGUGUUACUCACCCGUGCGCCGGUCGCCAUCGG
RNAcentral lists this ribosomal RNA (268 nucleotides) under uncultured bacterium. RNAcentral describes it as "partial 16S ribosomal RNA". The record is from RNAcentral.